AGAGCGAACGCUGGCGGCAGGCCUAACACAUGCAAGUCGAGCGCCCGUAGCAAUACGGGAGCGGCAGACGGGAGAGUAACACGUGGGAACGCGCCCUUCGGUUCGGAAUAACUCAGGGAAACUUGAGCUAAUACCGGAUACGCCCUUACGGGGAAAGAUUUAUUGCCGAAGGAACGGCCCGCGUCCGAUUAGCUUGUUGGUGAGGUAAUGGCUCACCAAGGCGACGAUCGGUAGCUGGUCUGAGAGGAUGACCAGCCUCACUGGGACUGAGACACGGCCCAGACUCCUACGGGAGGCAGCAGUGGGGAAUAUUGGACAAUGGGCGCAAGCCUGAUCCAGCCAUGCCGCGUGGAUGAUGAAGGCCCUAGGGUUGUAAAGUCCUUUAACGGGGAAGAUAAUGACGGUACCGUAGAAUAAGCCCGGCUAACGUUCGUGCCAGCAGCCGC
RNAcentral lists this ribosomal RNA (446 nucleotides) under uncultured bacterium. RNAcentral's name for it is "SSU rRNA". It matches the Rfam family "Bacterial small subunit ribosomal RNA", at positions 26 to 518 of the family's 1533-position model. The record is from RNAcentral.